CAGCACCACUCGCGUUCCACCUACCUGGCAAUGUCUGUCCUUUCCAAUUUCUAUUCUGUCCUUUUCAUUAGCCUCUUUCUUUCCCUUUUCACUUUCCUAUAAACUUCAGUCAGCAUCCACAAGGGGAAGAGACAAGAACAAGGUAUGUUUCCCACUGCCCUCUGUGCCCAGAAAGAACUCAGACAAAGGCACUUCUACCAAAGAUUUACUCCACAGAUGCUCCUUGGAUCUUGUCAUGGAAUUAGGAUUAAAUAUUGGGAGGUAUAUCAGAUGUGCUCGGUUAAACAUUAGCAAUUUUUAAAAGUUGAGGCAUUUCUCAAACUUUUACACAGGCUAAUAUGAAUUGUGAAUUUCCAGGAAGAAAGAUAACAAAUACAAGUUUCUGAAACUUAUGUGAUAGCACAUUCCUCUUUUUUAAAAUGGAGCAUCUUAUAGUGUUCUGUGCAACAUAUUUUGGGAAGCACUGAUCUGGCAUAUUCUAAAUGCUCCCUGGAAUUCUAUAUUCUUGAUACUUUAAAAUUAAAUCUCCUUGCUUUGGGAUCAAACAACGGAUCUUCUGAUGGCUAAAAAGAACACAAUCUUACAAAAGAACAGAAAGCAUAGCCUAGGUAGUGUGCUUUCUUGAAAAUUAUUAAAACACACAGUGCUAUAUGUUACUGAUGUAAUAAAUGAGAUGAACUCAAUGGAAAUACACACAUCAAAAACCUUUUACUUCCUUAAUCAUGUCUUCAAAGGCAAGAGUAGUGUGACUUGCCCACCUCUAAAUAUGUCUCGUGUUUACCCCAUAGCUUUUCAGGUACUUUUAGUUAGAAAAUAGUAUCAUUUAGGGUAGUUAAGACUAUAUAUAUAUUGCUUUGUCUUUAAUGCUGCUUCCGUAUUCCUUGUAACUGUUGGCGUUUUCCAUGAGGGGUGUCUACAUGCUGGUCUUUUGUCUGGUGCAUUGAUGGAGCCUUUGGAGGCUGCACUGGACCACCACGCUGUACCCAGUAAGGGCAAUUCACUUUUUAGCUAAUCUCCUGUAUCUACGCCUAUUGCUUCUACUGCUAGUGAUGAAUCCAAGGUCUCGUACUGCUGGCCAGAGUACUUUCAAGAUGGCCCAAGCUCAUUUAACUUCCGAAGCAUCCACUUGGUUCUCAAGAAAUUCCUGAGUCCUUGUGGGGCAAUCUGUUUUUGCCUUGCCAUCACGUGCUGCUCCAGCCAGACUCCUACCUUCAGGAUUCUCCAGAUGAGAGGCAGAUCCAGUGUUUGUGACUGUUCCCCAAAGCCUAGCCAGAUCUUCCCACUGCCAAACCCAUCCAACCUUCACCGGUCUGGUCCAUUCUUCCUCUUUCGGACUCCUAUCAAGGAACACCUCCUUCUCUAAGUCUAAUAUUAUUCUCCCAAGAAGAGUUAGUUGCUGGAUAAUUUUUGCCUCACCGUGCAUGGCUUUCUCCUCUUCGUGGAAUCUGCCACACUGUUUUGACAUAAGAGAGCUGUUAAAGUGACCACGUCUCCAGGGGUCAAGCCUGUGGAGAAAGGGGAGCAGCAAGAGGUAUUCUUCGAAUUCUGAAGCUACAAGGGACAGGAGGCCAUAAAACCAAAAAGAAGGCCUCUGGAAAGCAAAGCAAGGCAUUUCUUCAGCCUCAAGGUACUGAUGUGGGUAGAUUCAGGACCCACCAGGACCCACCCAGUAGGAGGCCCCUGUGGAUGCACCAAUUUCAAGUAUGAAACUCUGUAGGCUUACACCCUAGUAGCAGAGGUGAACUAGCCAUGAACCAAACCUUACGAGAUUCACUGCCCUGUUCUGAUUCAGUUUAGUCCUAGAGGACAGGAUGAACCUUUUCAGAAGGAAAAUAAUAUAUGGAGACUAUGUAUAUAUUUUUACAGAUAAUACCUGACACUCAAUAAAAUGUUAAUAGGCGUGCCAAGAUACAGGGCAAUAACCUGAAAGAUAAGAUUGAACAAAAAAGAGUUUCACAAGUGAUUCAGAUAUUGGAGUUAGCAGAACAAAGACUUUAAAAUAACUAGAACUAACAUGCCUCCCAAAUAGAGGCAAAUAUGGGCAAACUAGGUGGGAGAUGGAGAACCUCACCAAAGUAUUGAAAUAUAUUUUAAAAAACUAACUAGAAAUUCUAGAAUUGAAAAAUAGAAUAACUGAGAUGAAAAAAUCAGCAAUAGAUAGUUUUAAAAAAGGCUGGACGCAACAGAAGAAAGGAUUAGUAAAGGUAGAUCAAUAGAAACUACACUGAAGCUCAGGAAGAAAAAGUGGAAAAUACAGGAAAAACACAAGGGACAUGAAGAUCUAGUGAUAAAGUUUUAUAUACAUGAAAUAGAAAUUCCAGAAGGAAAAGAUAGAGGUAAUGGGGCAGGAGAAUGUUUGAAGAAUUAAAAAACAUAGCAAGGAAAGAAAAUUACAGUGCAAUUUCUCCCUCAAAAUUUGUUAAGCUGAAGAGUUAUGAUUUGUACACUUUUCUGUAUAUAUGUUACCCUUGAAUAAAAAAUUUAAAAAGGCCAAAUACGUGUCUGACUCCAGCAAACUUUGAUAUUUUAUUCUGUUGACGUAUAUGUUAUCUACAAUAUUGAAAUUCUUGCCAUUCUAGCAUUUAACAGAGGAACUAAAACAGAACAGCAAAGGUUUUUAGUUUUUUAUUUUCUGAAUUAAAAAUUGUUUGUUUAAAAUUUUACAAUAUAAAAAGUAUAAAGUAGAAAAUGAAAAACUCUAAAAUCUCAUUGUGUGUGUGUCCACUUUCAUUUUUUCAAAC
This 2741-nucleotide long non-coding RNA is filed under the name Equus caballus (horse). RNAcentral describes it as "lncRNA (ENSECAG00000034841.2)". The record is from RNAcentral. Lineage: Eukaryota; Metazoa; Chordata; Mammalia; Perissodactyla; Equidae.